RNAcentral lists this long non-coding RNA (1959 nucleotides) under Chinchilla lanigera (long-tailed chinchilla). RNAcentral describes it as "lncRNA (ENSCLAG00000026694.1)". Lineage: Eukaryota; Metazoa; Chordata; Mammalia; Rodentia; Chinchillidae. The record is from RNAcentral.
GUCGGGAGCCCUCCCACCAGCCAGUGUGCUGGGUUCUAGGGCCGCUUGCAUGAACUCAUAAUUCACUGCUUGAAACAACUCCGUGCACACCAUUUCCCAGCGAGGGGUCCGGGCAGGCCCAGCUGGCCGAGUCUGCUGCGCCACGCGGCCUCCUCGGGAUCACUUGGGCCGGGCGCUGGGCUGGGGGGUCCACGCUGGCUUCGCCCCCACCCCUGGCACCUGGGUGCGGACAGUGGAAGGCCGAGCCCCGCUGGGCACCUUUUCUCCUCUGUGGCCUUGGAGCCUCUGCGCUCUUUCCACCAAGGGAGUUGGACCCAACGUUGUGCCCCAGGCUCCCUCAGACCACGGGGGAAGGUGCCAGUCCUCCUGACACGAGAGCCAGAAAUGCCAGAGUGCCACUCCACGUGUGGUCCAGCGAGGGGAAGCGGAUCCUGUCUGUCAGGAUGGGGACUGUGGCAGCAUGUGCCCACGGUCCUCAGGGACUGUUUCUCUCACAGGCUUGUCUAGCGCCACGGUUUGCAGCAGAAGAGACGGCGGAGGGAGAGAGCGUCCACCUUCGCCCCCACCCUGCUCCCCGCCGAAACCAAGCGUCUCAACCCGGGAACCCCGAGGCCCGGGCUGGCGGUCGCUGCAGAUGCCCAGAGGGCCCGAUCCGCCGGACCCACAGGCGCACCCGGGCCCAGGCCCGCCCGCAGGCAGCUCUGAGCACUCCUAAGGACGCGAGGUCCGCUCUGCACCGCGGGGCUUCGCCUCAGAGCGGGCGCGAGGACGGGCGCAAUCCAAGAUCCCACUGCAUGGUGACUGACAAUGGGGUAUUGGUGUUUAAGGCUGACUUUACCUCGGUGAGUCCUUUGAUGAAGAUACACCAACACCCUCUCUGCACAUCCACGGCUCCUUCCUCAGCCUUUCGGUAUUGCAUUGGACGCUUCCGCUUCUCUCUGCAGUUCUGGGGCGGGCCUAGGCUCCUCCUGAAUGACUCACAUAGACUCAGAACCUUUCCCCAAAAGCACAGCCUUGGCUCCACAGUCAGUGGGGUGCAGCCAGAGCACAGCAUGGCCCUCCCUUGGUGCCACCAGUCUCCUGCCUUUUAGGUUUCUCAAGGGUACAUCGCCCUACACCCCAGGGAUUCACAUUGGGCUUCUGAAGCGGCCUCUUAGGAGCCCUUUUCACUAAUGUGGAAGUAAAGGAAAGGCAACUCCAGCUCCAGCGGGGAGGAUUUUGUUCUGAUUUUCUCUUCAGUCACCAAUAAUUUUCUUGGUCUCUCCAAAUUCUAAUAGACUGCAAGGCAGCUGGUGAAUUGAGAAUUGCAAAAGGUUUUUUAAAAGUAGUUCCACUGAGGUAUACUGUGCGUAUAAUUCACUCACUUAAAUGUGAAAUCCAAUGGCUUUAAGUGUGUUCUUAAGAGUUCUGCAGCCAUUACCACAAAUGAUUUUGGAACGUUUUCAUCAGCCCCUGACACAACUCCCCUAUCCAUUAGCACCACCCAAUCCUAGGCAAGCACUGAUCUUUCUGUGCCGAUGGACUUGGCCAGUUUAGACAUUGUAUAUGAGUGGAAUCACAUAGUAUGAGCACAUCUAUUACUGGCUCCUUAUGCUUGGGAUGAUACUUUCAAGGUUUAUCCAUGUUGUAGCAUGAAUCAGAACCAUAUUCUUUUUAAUUGCCAAAGAAUAUUUAUUGUAUAGAGGAGUGUCUAUUCAUAUUCUUUGCUCAUAUUUUAAAGUUGAUUUCGCCUCGAUUGUGUUUUAAGAGUCAUUUCUGUAUUCUAAAUAAAAGUCUCUAUCACAUAUAAUUUGCAAGAAAAAAUUUCUCCCAUUCCAUGGGUUGUCUUGUCUUUGUAAAAUUGUAAAUUGUAUUUCAACUAGUACAUAAAAAUGUAAAAUUAUGUAUAUUAAUGAUGUAAUAUGAUGUUUUGGUACUUGUACUACAUUGCAUAAUGUUUAAAUCAGAUUAAGCCAUUCA